Long non-coding RNA from Astyanax mexicanus (Mexican tetra), 2397 nucleotides. RefSeq lists it as uncharacterized. NCBI's taxonomy places the organism in Eukaryota, Metazoa, Chordata, Actinopteri, Characiformes, Acestrorhamphidae. The transcript has 2 exons. The record is from RefSeq and is a predicted model, not a curated record.
AAUUUAGCUAGCUGACUGUUUCAGCUCUCGGUGAAGCGCGGUCUUCUUAUAAUACUAAGCUACAGCGUGGUAAGACUAUUUAAAGCGUGUUAAUGGCGAAUGACGCUGUAAGAUAGCUAACGCUAGCGAGCUAGCGAGUGGAGGAUAGCUGGCUAAGCUAAUUAGCUACAGUUAGCCCGAUUACCUGCAGCAGCUGCUCGUUCAGAAACAAAACACCCAGCGCUGUUUAAGAGCUGCUUCACGAGCUCCUCUCCCAGCACAGGGUGUUUUUCUCAAUCAGCAGCUGCUUUUAAACCACGCUGUAGUUCAGUAAUAAGAUCGCGCUUCACCGAGAGCUGAAACAGCCAGUUAGCUAACGCUAGUUAAAAUACCUGACAGGACUGAAAGAGCGCCUCUCGGUUCUCCGGUCUAAUCCUGAGGGGAUUUUGUAGAUAUUUAACUUCUAGCCUCAUAAUUAAUACUGAACUAAAGUAUGGUAACUGGUUAAUGUUAAAAAGUCAACUCUCAUUUUACCAAAACUCAUUUGAUUAAUUUAGAUUUAAAUUAGCAAUUUAAAAAUAAAUAGACAAAAAAAUAAUAAUAAUAAUAAAAUAAUAAGGGGGGGGCGCCAGAAUUAGCGGCCGUCUGCGCAUGCGCCAGAAUUAGCGGCCGUCUGCGCAUGCGCCAAAAUUAGCGGCCGACUGCGCAUGCGCCAGAAUUAGCGGCCGUCUGCGCAUGCGCCAAAAUUAGCGGCCGUCUGCGCAUGCGCCAGAAUUAGCGGCCGUCUGCGCAUGCGCCAGAAUUAGCGGCCGUCUGCGCAUGCGCCAGAAUUAGCGGCCGUCUGCGCAUGCGCCAAAAUUAGCGGCCGUCUGCGCAUGCGCCAGAAUUAGCGGCCGUCUGCGCAUGCGCCAGAAUUAGCGGCCGUCUGCGCAUGCGCCAGAAUUAGCGGCCGUCUGCGCAUGCGCCAGAAUUAGCGGCCGUCUGCGCAUGCGCCAGAUUUAGCGGCCGUCUGCGCAUGCGCCAGAAUUAGCGGCCGUCUGCGCAUGCGCCAAAAUUAGCGGCCGUCUGCGCAUGCGCCAAAAUUAGCGGCCGACUGCGCAUGCGCCAGAUUUAGCGGCCGUCUGCGCAUGCGCCAGAAUUAGCGGCGGUCUGGUUAGGACUCGCUGCUGUUGGAUCUCUCCGUUAAAAUGAAUGGGAUGCGGUUGUGCCAGUGGACGCAGUCACUGGAUUAACUGGAGCUGUAUCUGGAUUUAAUAAAAAAUAUAUAUAUAUUUUGUUGUGGAUUUGACAUGAAGCAAAAGGCCCAGUCCUAGAAGACCCAGCAUCUUCAGGGUCCUGGAGCUCCAGCAGCAGCACUUGCCACUCCACCUUCUCCAUCCCCACCCGAAAGAGGAAGAUCAGCAGCAGUGGAGUGUUCCAGGAUGUUAAGAGGAGGAGAGGAGAGGGAGAGCAGAUCAAAGCGGUGAGAAGUGACCACUUGCUGGAGGGAGCUGCUGGACUGGUUUGAGCUUCAGGAAGAGGUUGUGUUGGUGAUGGAGCGUCCAAUGCCCUUCUCUUCGAUUACAUCCAGGCCAGCGAGAGACACCUUCGGGAGGAUGAAGCCAAGAUGAGAGACAACAAAUUAAGCAUCUGCUGAAGCUGGUGUUCAUUUUAGAAACAGACGUCUCUCUUCACCCUUAAUGUAGCAUCUACCCACUGGAUACCCAUAGACCACUGCAGUCAUGCAUCAUUCUGAAGUCCUCAUAUACCCAUAUUUGGGGUUCCGUGUCUAAGUUGAAUUUCUAUAUGCUUUAAUAAUCAUAUAUAAAUGAUGUAUUAUAUCUUGACAUUUAUCUUUUAGUGUGUUCAUAUUAACUGUUUUUCUAUUUCAUGUAUUAAGUUGUAGUUUUAAUAUUUUUUUGCUUUUAUUGCUGAAUUUUAUUCCAUUUAUUCUUUGUAUUUGCAUGGCUUUGAUUACUCUUUUAUGCUUGUUACCUUUUUGUUUAAUUGUAUGUAUUUGUUAAUGUUUCUAUUUUGUGAUUAAAUUAUAUUUUGUUUUUUUCUUUUAAUGCUUUAAACAUUAUUUAUUUUAAUCCAUACUUUUUCAUAUUCUUCUACACUAAUAUUAUAUGUAUUUAAAUCUAUUAUUAACUAUUUUCAUCUUUGUUUAGCACAGUAGUAUUGUAAUCUAUCAGUUCAAUAGAUUUGUAAAAAAAAUUGUUGUGUGUGUUUUAUUUAUUUAUUUUUUGGGUAGAUUUAUUUUUGUAUCUGUUUUCAUCCUAAGGAGUAUGGGUUCCUGCUUCGAGUCUGGUUCUUCUCAAGGUUUCUUCCUUUCUUUGAAAGGCUUGCUGCUGACUAACUCAAACGAGGCUUGAACACAUUUAAAAAAUGUUUAAUGUCUUUGUAAAUUGCUUUCUAAAUAAAUGUUUUUCAUUGUUA